GAGCCCCUGACUCAAUGAGGCCUCCCCAAAGGCCUCUCUAAAUAGUUCCUUCCCGCCCAGAGGCCGCCCAGCACUACGUCCAACUCUCACAACCUUCCCAGCGCGUCGGCCCCCUGCACCAAGGCCUUGUGUCCAGGAAGCUGCCCACCGGCCCUCCAGGAGGACCCAGGUGUGAAUUGCCCCAGGCCCCCAGCUGAGGACGUCCAGACCCCACAAGGCCUUCAACCAGAGCCUGUCCAUGCCCUGACGGACACCAUGAAGCCCCCGGGGCUGCUCUCGCUGGGCCUGGCAAGGAAGUUCCCACACUGACCCCUGGAGAGGAACAGCUGCUCCGCCUCCACCCCGCGGACCUCGGGGUGGAGCCACCCGGAGUGGGGAGAGCAGGAUCUCGGACUUCCAGCCUCCAGAGCUGAGGGAAGGAGCUGCCUGCCUGCCCAGCUUAUGGUCACUGUUUCAGCAACCCAGCUGCCUGACGACAGGUUCUCAUCUCCCGGAGGACAGAAGCUGUUCCCCGCACUGCAGCGUCCCAGGACUCCAGAGCCUAGGACUACAUUGUACUCGGGUGGCAGCCCCAGAGGCCAGAAUGUCAGCAAAAAAGAGUGAGUGACUGAGG
Molecule: non-coding RNA, 613 nt
Organism: Macaca mulatta (Rhesus monkey)
Lineage: Eukaryota; Metazoa; Chordata; Mammalia; Primates; Cercopithecidae
Source: RefSeq, a predicted model, not a curated record